GACGAACGCUGGCGGCGUGCUUAACACAUGCAAGUCGAACGGAAAGGCCUUUUCGGAGGUACUCGAGUGGCGAACGGGUGCGUAACACGUGGGUGAUCUGCCCUGCACUCUGGGAUAAGCCUGGGAAACUGGGUCUAAUACCGGAUAGGACCGCACUUUAGUGUGUGUGGUGGAAAGUUUUUUCGGUGUAGGAUGAGCCCGCUGCCUAUCAGCUUGUUGGUGGGGUAAUGGCCUACCAAGGCGGCGACGGGUAGCCGGACUGAGAGGUUGGUCGGCCACAUUGGGACUGAGAUACGGCCCAGACUCCUACGGGAGGCAGCAGUGGGGAAUAUUGCACAAUGGGCGCAAGCCUGAUGCAGCGACGCCGCGUGGGGGAUGACGGCCUUCGGGUUGUAAACGCCUUUCGCCAGGGACGAAGCGUUUUGUGACGGUACCUGGAGAAGAAGCACCGGCUAACUACGUG
This 463-nucleotide ribosomal RNA is filed under the name uncultured bacterium. RNAcentral's name for it is "partial 16S ribosomal RNA". It matches the Rfam family "Bacterial small subunit ribosomal RNA", at positions 28 to 507 of the family's 1533-position model. The record is from RNAcentral.